Molecule: ribosomal RNA, 253 nt
Filed under: uncultured bacterium
Lineage: Bacteria
Description: partial 16S ribosomal RNA
Rfam family: Bacterial small subunit ribosomal RNA
Source: RNAcentral
UACGUAGGGGGCAAGCGUUGUCCGGAAUCAUUGGGCGUAAAGCGCGUGUAGGCGGUUCGGUAAGUCGGCUGUGAAAGUCCAGGGCUCAACCCUGGGAUGCCGGUCGAUACUGCCGGACUAGAGUUCGGAAGAGGCGAGUGGAAUUCCCGGUGUAGCGGUGAAAUGCGCAGAUAUCGGGAAGAACACCCGUGGCGAAGGCGGUUCUCUGGGACGGUACUGACGCUGAGACGCGAAAGCGUGGGGAGCGAACAGG